AUGGACCUUGGGCGCCUCAAUUAUGGGAUUGUGACCCUCAUCCCCAAGGUCCCGGGCACUUCUGACAUUCGCCAGUUCCGCCCAAUCACAGUGAUUAAUGUGAUUUUCCGGAUCUUGGCCAAAGGGUACGCCAAUAGGGUGACCCUCCUCGCUGACACGAUUACCCAUCCAAACCAAUCCGCCUUCAUACAAGUCUGAUUUAUUCUUGAUGGGGUGUUAGUAUUUCACGAAGUCCUCCAUGAGGUUCGGCUAAAAUGCCAUCGCGCGGUCUUCCUAAAGCUAGACUUUCACAAAGCCUACGACAUGGUACACUGGCCAUUCCUGCGGGAAGUGUUGCUUCGCAAGGGCUUCGACGACCGUUGGGUGACUCGCGUCAUGCAGCUUGUCUCCUGUGGCCGGACCGCGGUGAACAUCAACGGUGACAUUGGGCCCUAA
Molecule: ribosomal RNA, 435 nt
Filed under: Triticum aestivum (bread wheat)
Lineage: Eukaryota; Viridiplantae; Streptophyta; Magnoliopsida; Poales; Poaceae
Description: partial small subunit ribosomal RNA
Source: RNAcentral